GGCUUUGGGUUGGUGAUUAUUUGGUUUCCAAUUGGAAGAAGGUUCCUAAAAAGAGAAGAACACUAUAUAGCGAAUCAAUGUAUUGCCAUCCUGCAUAAAGAGCUGUCUAUUCUAAACGAACAACUACCAGAAUCAAACAGUUCAUCUUCGUGACUUUGUCAUUGCCUUCUUAUGUAUAAACAAAACCAGAGGCAAUCUGUCCCAAAACCCAAUCCCCUAGAGCUUUGUAAUGCUAGACUACGUCACAGGUUUCAGCAACUGACGGAAAUAUUCAGCCUGCAAUAGCAUAUGGAAAUGGACCAACAUUAUUAAUAACAUAUUGAUAAAUUCAAAAUUAUAUAAUCCAAUAAGCUAUUCUUAAGGAGAAGCAAACAAGAAAGCAGAGAUGAUAACACUAUAUACAGUAACAAAGCACAACAUUUCCACACAAAUAUGGCACUACCUGAUAAAGAGAAACAGUAAAAUACAACCUUCAUUUAAACUCAAGUAUGGAUAAGGGUAUAAAUUUAGCACAAUCUCACACAAAUUCCAUUAUUCAUUGCAACAGACAUCUUAUAAUGUUUCUAAAUUCCAAAAUUCCUAACUGUGCAAUUUGUUGGGAUUUAGCCAUGACAUAAUCACAUCAGGGGCUAUAAAUAAAAGUUAAACCAACAGCAGAACAGCCAUAAACCUGCUUCAGAGAGAGUACAAUGUACACAACAAGCUAACUAAGAAAAAAAAAACAACAAAAGGUUUGUCUCUGAUCUUUAGUUCACUUACACUUGGUUCUCUAGUUUUUCCUAUCCUGGACACAAGCAGGAAAAGAGAAAACGAAGAAGCACAGGAACAUUCAACUAUAUACUAAUAAAUUAAGAUAAACAUUGUCAAAAAUAACAGCAAAUGGAAGUAACAGCUUUAAAACUUCUCUAAAAUCAGUAAUCUGUUCAAAACUUGCAAUGCAUCCAGCUUUGUAAACGAUUAUCAGGGGCUCUUCAAGAAAUCACCACUUAAAAACUCUACUGGCUAUAAAUAUCAUCCAAGACCGAUGAAUAACAUUUCCAGUAACAAUAAAAUAACCAUCAAACAUAUAUUACAAGCACUACAAGAAUAAAACACAGAAAAUAUACAAUAAAAUUUAUAAGCAAACAGAGAUUACACUUUUACCUGGCAAACUUGCAUCACUUGGUAAUACGCAGUAAUCCCAACUAUCAUUUUAAUCUUCCCUACUUCCUUCACAGCACGAUACCUCUUUAUGGUUACCGCAAUGUACAUUCUCGCACCUCAAACCGCUUUUAAAUAGAAACCACACUAAAUAUAAGGGUUCCUUCACCAAUCAAAGAGGAUU
Molecule: unclassified non-coding RNA, 1324 nt
Filed under: Hevea brasiliensis (rubber tree)
Lineage: Eukaryota; Viridiplantae; Streptophyta; Magnoliopsida; Malpighiales; Euphorbiaceae
Source: RNAcentral